This 846-nucleotide long non-coding RNA is filed under the name Homo sapiens (human). Its description in RNAcentral is "HSALNT0275936". Lineage: Eukaryota; Metazoa; Chordata; Mammalia; Primates; Hominidae. The record is from RNAcentral.
GGGCCCGGGAAGCCCCUUCCUUCAGAUCUCUUACCUUCCUCCAAAUCGGGGUCCUCUGUCUCUCCCUCCCAUCUCUCCCUUUCCCAGAGCUGCGACUGGGCCUAUGGGCUAAGACUGUGCCCCGGGCAUAACAGCUCCAACAUCUGUUGCUUAAACUGCCUUGGAGAACCCUCCAUCCAUCUCCCAUGUGUGGUGACUUUUCUCCCAUGUGUGGUGACUCCCAAGUGUUGGUCUCUUGAGUCCUGCAAAGCACGAAGUGGGCGCCAGCCCAGCCUCCUCCCGGGACCCGCCCCCACGGGACCCAGCCAGUCCCCGCCCUCCGCACCCACCGGCUCCUCUCUUCCCUUCCGCUACCGCACAGGGCCGACCCGCCUCCAGCCAGAGGCACGGGGACCCUGCAACUGUGGCUAGAGUUUCAGGUGUCUGAUGCACGCUGAAGCUUGAGGAUCACGGAUUGAAUGGCGAAGAGAUUGUGCGGCUUAAAAACCUGCUCCAGGGUAAUGCGGCGGUCUCUGGCCGAGAGGAACCCUUGUGAAUGAGCAGGACUCAGCUCGGGUUUUCCCUUUAAGGGACUCGCUCCAGGUGCUGGCUUCGCCUCCUCACAGAGCCGCUUCCCCGACGACCCCCGCCAUGUGCACCACCCCCCUUUCCCGCCAUUGCCUCCCCACCCACCGCAAGGGCGGAAGGAAGCACGCCUCUGAGUGUGCUCAUCCCCCUAUCCGCCUACCAAGACAGGGGACCCCACUUACCCCCAAACAUCACCUUGAUAAACAUAGCUGCAGCGGGUGAGGGAGAUGUGGGGGGCUUUGAUCCCCCAACUCUCGAUUCCCCAACUAAGGAAAAGCG